This is a long non-coding RNA of Cucurbita pepo subsp. pepo (vegetable marrow), 839 nucleotides long. RefSeq lists it as uncharacterized. The record is from RefSeq and is a predicted model, not a curated record. Lineage: Eukaryota; Viridiplantae; Streptophyta; Magnoliopsida; Cucurbitales; Cucurbitaceae.
UGUGUUGAUUUUGAUUUCAGAAGGAACCGAUUUGAGAUCGAUUCCAUAAACCCAUUUGCUGGUUUCAGAUUGUACAUCGUUGUUUCGCGCGUUAGAUCGCUCGAUAUCGGACUUAUCUGCCCAUUUGCCAGGAGGGAACUUGCUUGGACUGGAAAGAUUUCAAAUGUUGGACUUCAUUUUCGAAAUUUGAAGUGCAUUCAGCGCAGCAAUGUUCUCUAAUCCCCAUUUCAUUCAUAGAAGCAUUUUUCUGCAAAUAUGAGAGGUAUGUUCAUAUUGCUUUCUGGCCCUGUUUUGAAAAAACUUAGCAGAAGAGAGAGAGAUAAAGAUGAUUUGGGUUUCAUAUCUGCGAGUAAAACUCUGUAAAACAACACCAUGCGUGGCUAUAUAAUGACCAAAAAAGGGAGGAAACACAAGGACACUAGCCCAUCUGACUUUCCCAGAAACACUUUUUCUUUUAUGUUUCUGUCCUUAUUCUCAGUCUGUCUUUAGGCUCCAACACAACAAAAGUACAACUACCCAACCCCUCUCUCUCCCCACAUAUAUAAACUUCAAAAUAUUGAUGAUAAUGGAGGUUCUCCAUGCAAAAUUCCAAACCAAGUAGUACUUUUUUCAGUCAAAUUUGAAGAAACGGGAAGAUACAAGGGUAUAAAACAAAGAAAAACUAGGUAUAUAUACAAGUUUUAGCUCCUAAUGUUGUUGUAACGACCCUAAAUUUUCUACUUAAUCUAAAGUUGGUACUGUAUGCAUAUCAUGAAUGCAUCUUAAAACACUGGACUUACGUGUUCGAAAACAACUUAGCAUACAAUGUUCAUGAUAUGUAUGCAGUAGCGACUUUACGG